UUUAUAUUUUAUCUCUAUAAUAACUUCAAGUGCUUAAAAAGAUUCAAGUAUACAAUAAACCUCCCUCGAAUAAAUUUCCACAAUCUUAUCAUUAUCCCCUAAUCCAAUAGAUGCAAUUAAUUCUUAAGAAUCCUCUAAUCUAUUUUCUUCAUAAAUACCUAAAAUCUUUUCAUCAUCUUCUAAUGUCCCUAACUUGUAUAAUUCCCUUUCAAUACUAUAUAAUCUUUUUUUAUCUUUUCUUUUAAAAUCAUCAACUUUCUUAUACAUAAUA
This 271-nucleotide long non-coding RNA is filed under the name Physcomitrium patens. RNAcentral describes it as "long non-coding RNA (PPAT_LNC010126)". Lineage: Eukaryota; Viridiplantae; Streptophyta; Bryopsida; Funariales; Funariaceae. The record is from RNAcentral.